RNAcentral lists this ribosomal RNA (897 nucleotides) under uncultured marine bacterium. RNAcentral's name for it is "bacterial SSU rRNA". It matches the Rfam family "Bacterial small subunit ribosomal RNA", at positions 57 to 1003 of the family's 1533-position model. The record is from RNAcentral.
GCAAGUCGAACGAAGUAGCAAUACUUAGUGGCAGACGGGUGAGUAACAUGUAGGUAUCUGCCCUUUGGCCUGGAAUAACACGAGGAAACUUGUGCUAAUACCGGAUAAGUCUUUACGGAGAAAGCUUUAUGCACCAUUGGAUGUGCCUGCACUUGAUUAGUUUGUUGGUGGGGUAAUGGCCUACCAAGACUGUGAUCAAUAGCUGAUUUGAGAGGAUGAUCAGCCACAUUGGGACUGAGACACGGCCCAAACUCCUACGGGAGGCAGCAGUGGGGAAUCUUGCACAAUGGAGGAAACUCUGAUGCAGCGAUGCCGCGUGAGUGAAGAAGGCCUUUGGGCUGUAAAGCUCUUUCGUCGGGGAAGAAAAUGACUGUACCCGAAUAAGAAGGUCCGGCUAACUUCGUGCCAGCAGCCGCGGUAAUACGAAGGGACCUAGCGUAGUUCGGAAUUACUGGGCUUAAAGAGUUCGUAGGUGGUUGAAAAAGUUAGUGGUGAAAUCCCAGAGCUUAACUCUGGAACUGCCAUUAAAACUUUGCAGCUAGAGUAUGAUAGAGGAAAGCAGAAUUUCUAGUGUAGAGGUGAAAUUCGUAGAUAUUAGAAAGAAUACCAAUAGCGAAGGCAGCUUUCUGGAUCAUUACUGACACUGAGGAACGAAAGCAUGGGUAGCGAAGAGGAUUAGAUACCCUCGUAGUCCAUGCCGUAAACGAUGUGUGUUAGACGUUGGAAAUUUAUUUUCAGUGUCGCAGCGAAAGCGAUAAACACACCGCCUGGGGAGUACGACCGCAAGGUUAAAACUCAAAUGAAUUGACGGGGACCCGCACAAGUAGUGGAGCAUGUGGUUUAAUUCGAAGAUACGCGCAGAACCUUACCACACUUGACAUGUUCGUCGCGACUCUA